This 498-nucleotide ribosomal RNA is filed under the name uncultured bacterium. Its description in RNAcentral is "partial 16S ribosomal RNA". It matches the Rfam family "Bacterial small subunit ribosomal RNA", at positions 30 to 523 of the family's 1533-position model. The record is from RNAcentral.
AUUGAACGCUGGCGGCAUGCUUUACACAUGCAAGUCGAACGGUAACAGGCCGCAAGGUGCUGACGAGUGGCGAACGGGUGAGUAAUGCAUCGGAACGUGCCCAGUCGUGGGGGAUAACGCAGCGAAAGCUGCGCUAAUACCGCAUACGAUCUAUGGAUGAAAGCGGGGGACCGUAAGGCCUCGCGCGAUUGGAGCGGCCGAUGUCAGAUUAGGUAGUUGGUGGGGUAAAGGCUCACCAAGCCGACGAUCUGUAGCUGGUCUGAGAGGACGACCAGCCACACUGGGACUGAGACACGGCCCAGACUCCUACGGGAGGCAGCAGUGGGGAAUUUUGGACAAUGGGCGCAAGCCUGAUCCAGCAAUGCCGCGUGCAGGAAGAAGGCCUUCGGGUUGUAAACUGCUUUUGUACGGAACGAAACGGCUCUGGUUAAUACCUGGGGCUAAUGACGGUACCGUAAGAAUAAGCACCGGCUAACUACGUGCCAGCCGCCGCAGUAA